CUAUCUAGCGAAUCUCGAACCUGAACCGCGUACCCGAACCAGAGCAAACCGCGAUUUAGGUGACUAUGUUCUAAAUCAACAUGUCUUAUUAUUGUGCCUUUUAUUCACUCAGGCUAACUCUGAGGUGUCUGCUUUACUUGGUCGUAUUCCAUCUUCUGUCGGUUACCAACUAACUUUAGCUACGGAUCUUGGAGGUCUUAAAGAGCGUAU
Molecule: long non-coding RNA, 210 nt
Organism: Helianthus annuus (common sunflower)
Lineage: Eukaryota; Viridiplantae; Streptophyta; Magnoliopsida; Asterales; Asteraceae
Exons: 2
Source: RefSeq, a predicted model, not a curated record